UACGUAGGGGGCAAGCGUUGUCCGGAUUUAUUGGGCGUAAAGAGCGUGUAGGCGGCCAGACAAGUCCGUUGUGAAAACUAGAGGCUUAACCUCUAGACGUCGAUGGAAACUGUUUGGCUAGAGUCCGGAAGAGGAGAAUGGAAUUCCUGGUGUAGCGGUGUAAUGCGCAGAUAUCAGGAAGAACACCCGUGGCUAAGGCGGUUCUCUAGUACGGUACUGACGCUGAGACGCGAAAGCGUGGGGAGCGAACAGG
This 253-nucleotide ribosomal RNA is filed under the name uncultured bacterium. RNAcentral's name for it is "partial 16S ribosomal RNA". It matches the Rfam family "Bacterial small subunit ribosomal RNA", at positions 524 to 776 of the family's 1533-position model. The record is from RNAcentral.